This 17-nucleotide transfer RNA is filed under the name Spiranthes vernalis. Its description in RNAcentral is "partial tRNA-Gly". The record is from RNAcentral. Lineage: Eukaryota; Viridiplantae; Streptophyta; Magnoliopsida; Asparagales; Orchidaceae.
GCGGAUAUGGUCAAAUG